GAGUUUGAUCAUGGCUCAGGAUGAACGCUGGCGGCGUGCUUAACACAUGCAAGUCGAGCGAAGCGCCUUAUUUGAUUUUCUUCGGAACUGAAGAUUUGGUGACUGAGUGGCGGACGGGUGAGUAACGCGUGGGUAACCUGCCCUGUACAGGGGGAUAACAAUCAGAAAUGACUGCUAAUACCGCAUAAGACCACAGCACCGCAUGGUGCAGGGGUAAAAACUCCGGUGGUACAGGAUGGACCCGCGUCUGAUUAGCUGGUUGGUGAGGUAACGGCUCACCAAGGCGACGAUCAGUAGCCGGCUUGAGAGAGUGAACGGCCACAUUGGGACUGAGACACGGCCCAAACUCCUACGGGAGGCAGCAGUGGGGAAUAUUGCACUAUGGGGGAAACCCUGAUGCAGCAACGCCGCGUGAGUGAAGAAGUAUUUCGGUAUGUAAAGCUCUAUCAGCAGGGAAGAAAGUGACGGUACCUGACUAAGAAGCCCCGGCUAACUACGUGCCAGCAGCCGACCG
This 514-nucleotide ribosomal RNA is filed under the name uncultured microorganism. RNAcentral describes it as "bacterial SSU rRNA". It matches the Rfam family "Bacterial small subunit ribosomal RNA", at positions 9 to 520 of the family's 1533-position model. The record is from RNAcentral.